This 430-nucleotide ribosomal RNA is filed under the name uncultured Bacillus sp. Its description in RNAcentral is "bacterial SSU rRNA". It matches the Rfam family "Bacterial small subunit ribosomal RNA", at positions 354 to 776 of the family's 1533-position model. Lineage: Bacteria; Bacillati; Bacillota; Bacilli; Caryophanales; Bacillaceae. The record is from RNAcentral.
GUAGGGAAUCUUCCGCAAUGGACGAAAGUCUGACGGAGCAACGCCGCGUGAACGAAGAAGGCCUUCGGGUCGUAAAGUUCUGUUGUUAGGGAAGAACAAGUACGAUAGUAACUGAUCGUACCUUGACGGUACCUAACCAGAAAGCCACGGCUAACUACGUGCCAGCAGCCGCGGUAAUACGUAGGUGGCAAGCGUUGUCCGGAAUUAUUGGGCGUAAAGCGCGCGCAGGUGGUUCCUUAAGUCUGAUGUGAAAGCCCACGGCUCAACCGUGGAAGGUCAUUGGAAACUGGGGAACUUGAGUGCAGAAGAGGAAAGUGGAAUUCCAAGUGUAGCGGUGAAAUGCGUAGAUAUUUGGAGGAACACCAGUGGCGAAGGCGACUUUCUGGUCUGUAACUGACACUGAGGCGCGAAAGCGUGGGGAGCAAACAGG